RNAcentral lists this long non-coding RNA (809 nucleotides) under Homo sapiens (human). Its description in RNAcentral is "non-protein coding lnc-RIMKLB-6:4". The record is from RNAcentral. Lineage: Eukaryota; Metazoa; Chordata; Mammalia; Primates; Hominidae.
UCCACACUGUGGAAGCUUUGUUCUUUUGCUCUUUGCAAUAAAUCUUGCUACUGCUCACUCUUUGGGUCCAUGCUGCUUUUAUGAGCUGUAACACUCACCACGAAGGCCUGCAGCUUCACUCCUGAAGCCAGCGAGACCACGAGCCCGCCGGGAGGAACGAACAACUCCAGAUGUGCCGCCUUAAGAGCUGUAACACUCACCGCAAAGGUCUGCAGCUUCACUCCUGAGCCAGCGAGACCACGAACCCACCAGAAGGAAGAAACUCCGAACACAUCCGAACAUCAGAAGGAACAAACUCCAGACGCACCACCUUAAGAGCUGUAACACUCACCGCAAGGGUCCGCAGUUUCAUUCUUGAAGUCAGUGAGACCAAGAACCCACCAAUUCCGGACACAUUUUGGCGACCCAGAUGGGACUUUCGCCUAUCACCAAGCGGUGAGACCAUCACCUAUAGCUGAGCGGUGAGACCAUCACCUAUAGCUGAGCGGCGAGACCAUCACCUAUCACCAAGCAAUGGGAAACACUCAGGCAUCAACAGGCUCACCCUUGAAAUGCAUCCUAAGCCAUUGGGACCAAUUUGAUCCACAAACCUUGAAAAAGAGGCGGCUCAUUUUUUUCUGCACUAUGGCUUGGGCCCAAUAUUCUCUCUCUGAUGAGGAAAAAUGGCCACCUGAGGGAAGUACAAAUUACAAUACUAUCCUGCAGCUUGACCUUUUCUGUAAGAGGGAAGGCAAAUGGAGUGAAAUACCUUAUGUCCAAGCUUUCUUUUCAUUGAAGAAUCAAGGCCAUCAAGCUACAGAUGGGCUUAC